GACGAACGCUGGCGGCGUGCUUAACACAUGCAAGUCGAACGGAAAGGCCUCUUUCGGGGGGUACUCGAGUGGCGAACGGGUGAGUAACACGUGAGUAACCUGCCCUUGACUUUGGGAUAACUUCAGGAAACUGGGGCUAAUACCGGAUAGGAGCUCCUGCUGCAUGGUGGGGGUUGGAAAGUUUCGGCGGUUGGGGAUGGACUCGCGGCUUAUCAGCUUGUUGGUGGGGUAGUGGCUUACCAAGGCUUUGACGGGUAGCCGGCCUGAGAGGGUGACCGGCCACAUUGGGACUGAGAUACGGCCCAGACUCCUACGGGAGGCAGCAGUGGGGAAUAUUGCACAAUGGGUGGAAGCCUGAUGCAGCAACGCCGUGUGCGGGAUGACGGCCUUCGGGUUGUAAACCGCUUUCGCUCAUGACGAAGCUUUGUGUGACGGUAGUGGGUAAAGAAGCACCGGCUGACUACGUG
Molecule: ribosomal RNA, 467 nt
Filed under: uncultured bacterium
Lineage: Bacteria
Description: partial 16S ribosomal RNA
Rfam family: Bacterial small subunit ribosomal RNA
Source: RNAcentral